Molecule: ribosomal RNA, 1241 nt
Filed under: metagenome
Description: bacterial LSU rRNA
Rfam family: Bacterial large subunit ribosomal RNA
Source: RNAcentral
UGAAUACGAGACGCUAAGGCGUCGAAGUAGUGUAUGUCAUACUUCCAAGAAAAGCUUGCACUGUCAUAGAUAAAAAACGCCUGUACCAUAACCGACACAGGUGGGUAGGUAGAGUAUACUAAGGGGCGCGAGAUAACUCUCUCUAAGGAACUCGGCAAAAUAACUCCGUAACUUCGGGAGAAGGAGUGCCUUAUUCUUAAGGUUGCAAUAACAAGAUCCAAGCAACUGUUUAUCAAAAACACAGGUCUCCGCUAAGUCGUAAGACGAUGUAUGGGGGCUGACGCCUGCCCAGUGCCAGAAGGUUAAAGAAGCUGGUUAGCAUUUGCGAAGCUAGUAACUGAAGCCCUGGUGAACGGCGGCCGUAACAAUAACGGUCCUAAGGUAGCGAAAUUCCUUGUCGGGUAAGUUCCGACCCGCACGAAAGGCGUAAUGAUUUGGGUACUGUCUCGGAGAGGGGCUCGGUGAAAUAGACUUGUCUGUGAAGAUGCGGACUACCUGCACCAGGACAGAAAGACCCUAUGAAGCUUUACUGUAACUUGAAAUUGAAAUUGGACUUUAUUCGCGCAGUAUAGGUGGGAGGCGUUGAUUAUAAUCUUGCGGGAUUAUUGGAGCCAUUAGUGAGAUACCACUCUUGUAAUGUUAGAUUUCUAACUUUGAAUCAUUAUCUGGUCAAAGAACAGUUUCAGGCGGGCAGUUUGACUGGGGCGGUCGCCUCCUAAACGGUAACGGAGGCGUACAAAGGUUUCCUCUGAACGGUUAGAAAUCGUAUCUAGAGUGUAAAGGCAUAAGGAAGCUUGACUGUGAGACCUACAAGUCGAGCAGGGACGAAAGUCGGUCUUAGUGAUCUGACGGUACUGAGUGGAAAGGCCGUCACUCAACGGAUAAAAGUUACUCUAGGAUAACAGGCUGAUCUCCCCCAAGAGUUCACAUCGACGGGGAGGUUUGGCACCUCGAUGUCGGCUCAUCGCAUCCUGGGGCGGUAGUACGUCCCAAGGGUUGGGCUGUUCGCCCAUGAAAGCGGUACGCGAGCUGGGUUCAGAACGUCGUGAGACAGUUCGGUCCAUAUCCGGUGUAGGCGUUAGAAUAUUGAGAGGAGCCUUCUUUAGUACGAGAGGACCGAGAAGGACAUACCUCUGGUGUACCAGUUAUCGUGCCAACGGUAAACGCUGGGUAGCUAUGUAUGGAGUGGAUAACCGCUGAAAGCAUCUAAGUGGGAAGCCCACCUCAAGAUAAGUAUUCUC